UACGAAGGGGGCUAGCGUUGCUCGGAAUCACUGGGCGUAAAGCGCACGUAGGCGGAUCUUUAAGUCAGGGGUGAAAUCCCGGGGCUCAACCUCGGAACUGCCUUUGAUACUGCAAAUCUCGAGUCCGGAAGAGGUGAGUGGAAUUCCUAGUGUAGAGGUGAAAUUCGUAGAUAUUAGGAAGAACACCAGUGGCGAAGGCGGCUCACUGGUCCGGUACUGACGCUGAGGUGCGAAAGCGUGGGGAGCAAACAGG
This 253-nucleotide ribosomal RNA is filed under the name uncultured bacterium. RNAcentral's name for it is "partial 16S ribosomal RNA". It matches the Rfam family "Bacterial small subunit ribosomal RNA", at positions 524 to 776 of the family's 1533-position model. The record is from RNAcentral.